GCAGUCCAGAGGGUUCACAGAGACGGUACCACAAGAAGAGCCUUGGGGCUUGAUAAAAACCAACUUCUUAGGAGACAGACAAUGGGUGGAAGCAAAGUUCAGACAGAGGGAAAAGCGUGAGCCAAGCCGGAAAGAGGAAACAGUAGCCAUGUGUUGGGAAGACCUUGGAUUCCAGCCAAUGAAGAGAAAACGAAGGAUGGGAAGACCAGGAAUGGGAGCCACUGAAGUUCCUAAGUUCCUACUUGUAAAAAUCAUCUUAACCGAUACAGAAAUGACUGCAGUCCUACCAUACGACUUCUGGAGAGGGGAAGGCCUUCACUUUCAUGGACAGACGGUAGGACCGCUUUCCCGCUAUGGUUUCCUGCACCUGCUGCUUCCGAUGCUUCACGCUGAUGAAUCCCUUUCCUUUGAAAGAAGAAAUGAUAGUGCAUCAGGAAAGGAUGCAUUUACGUCAACAUACGCUCACCCCUUCCCUAAGAGAGAUGCGGUCAACGAAUGGAACAUGAUGGAGCCUGUCCAGGAGCCCAAGUGCCAACCGACGAGUGAUGCCUUCAGGUCAACUGCCAGCAAGUCCUAGAGACGUAAAGCAGCGUACAGGCGAUCUCCCACAAUGACGAGGGACAGGAUUUCUAAAAUCUACCUAGCUGAUACAAUGAAGAUGGAGAAAGUUGCUCUGGGCUGAAAUGUCAAGCUCCGAAAGAAUUUACAUCUCAUAAUCAAGCAACCGUUUGGGCAUUCCGUGGUACUUAGACAAGUUGCAGAAGAUCAUUAAUUCCAGGUGAUUUAUUGUAUUUUUCUACAUCCACCUCAUGGUAGUAUCCGGGGAAUUUCCCCCAGAUAAAGUAAAACUGGUCCACAGGUUCUGCUUUGGUCAUAUGGAACAGUAAAUGAGGAAAUCGUGACUGCUUUACAAUCUACGUUACUAAUCGAAGCAUCCAAAAUCAAGACUGUCCACAUCAAAAGCAGUAUUUUUAAAAGUUAACAU
Peromyscus leucopus (white-footed mouse) is the source of this 985-nucleotide long non-coding RNA. RefSeq lists it as uncharacterized. The transcript is spliced from 3 exons. The record is from RefSeq and is a predicted model, not a curated record. NCBI's taxonomy places the organism in Eukaryota, Metazoa, Chordata, Mammalia, Rodentia, Cricetidae.